RNAcentral lists this ribosomal RNA (253 nucleotides) under uncultured bacterium. RNAcentral describes it as "partial 16S ribosomal RNA". It matches the Rfam family "Bacterial small subunit ribosomal RNA", at positions 524 to 776 of the family's 1533-position model. The record is from RNAcentral.
UACGGAGGGGGCGAGCGUUACCCGGAUUUACUGGGCGUAAAGGGCGUGUAGGCGGUCUUUCAAGUCCGAUGCUAAAGACCGGGGCUCAACCCCGGGGGUGCGUUGGAUACUGUGAGGCUAGACGGGCGGGGGGGGUAGCGGAAUUUCCGGGGUAGCGGUGAAAUGCGCAGAUACCGGAAGGAACGCCGAUAGCGAAGGCAGCUACCUGGACGAUUGGCGACGCUGGGGGGCGAAAGCGUGGGGAGCAAACCGG